RNAcentral lists this unclassified non-coding RNA (1237 nucleotides) under Hevea brasiliensis (rubber tree). Lineage: Eukaryota; Viridiplantae; Streptophyta; Magnoliopsida; Malpighiales; Euphorbiaceae. The record is from RNAcentral.
GUUUCUAAUGCCCAUUAACACGUAAAGAGGACCGGGAAAAAGAAAACAACCAAAAUUUUUGCAAGGAAGCCAUUCUCAGCAGUUGACAGAUUAGAAUUGUUGGCAGCAAUACAGGGAAAAAAAAUAGCAGACCAAUGUCCACACAAGAUGAGACCUACGAGGACACAUUCACAAACAACACAGUUAUCAACUCUUACAGCUUACAAAAACAUCCACAAUCUAACUACAUCAGUUAACUGCAUUUAUGUCAGCUAUCUUUUAGGCAAUGAGAGAAUGGCAGCACAAAAUGUUUUUUUUUUUUUUUCCCUUUUUUAUAACUUGGCUUGGAGAUUGUUCUUUUGUGAUUUGGUAUCCCUGUUGCAUUCUAGUAAACUGCCACUUGAUUUGUUAAGCUUUGAGGGUGUUUCUAGAAAUAUUGGGUUUCGGCUCCUUUUUGUUUCAGCAAAUACAAUUGCUAAGUUUGUUUCUAACAGCUAGUUGUGAUUAAUUUUUGUUUUUUGGGUAUUUUGGGUUCUCUAUUUCAAGUGAUAUUUUUAUUGCUUUCCUAAAAGCAUUCUCCUAUUAAUUGUAAGCUAUUUCUGAAUUUUGGGUGACUAUUUUGAGAUAUGAUGAUUUAUAAUAAGGGUGAUACUAAGUCUAUGAUUUCCAACAAGAUUCUGAUGAUGACUAAAAUAUCAAUCAUAAGUUCAAUGGUUUGAAUUACUUGGAAGUUGAAAUUCCUGUGUUUUGGGUUUUGUGUUUGCUAUUUAUUGGAGGUCCUAUUUUGAUUAUAACUUUUGUUUGGUGUGGGUGUUUGGAUUUGGACAAUCAUCGUAUCACAGCUCUAUGAGCUGUUAGGUAAACAUUCAUCUACUGUUAUUUUUUCUUGCCAAUAUUACCUUUGGAGACAAAAGCACAACCCAAUGAGCUGUUUUGUGUUAAUGUUUUCUCGUCGGCAUCGCCUUUGGAGAGGACUUGUCUUUUAUGUUAGCGCCUUUGUGCCUUUGUGCAAGUGUUUCUGAAUUCGGCAUGCGGUACUGUUACUUUGUGUUAUUGAUUCUAAGGGAUCAUUGGACCUUAAGGGAUAACUGGACCUGUUGCAGUCUUCUAAGAAGAAUCUCAUACAGGGAAUAGUGUUGGAACUGAUGAGAUUACAUUUUUAGGGGGAGUGUUAAGACAAGGCAAUAUUAUAUUCCCAUUUAGUGUAGCAUUUAUAUUGUUAUGGAACGUCAAAAUUCCUAUUUAGUGUAGGAUUUAU